AGUGAACGCUGGCGGUAGGCCUAACACAUGCAAGUCGAACGGCAGCACAGUAAGAGCUUGCUCUUACGGGUGGCGAGUGGCGGACGGGUGAGGAAUACAUCGGAAUCUACUUUUUCGUGGGGGAUAACGUAGGGAAACUUACGCUAAUACCGUAUACGACCUACGGGCGAAAGCAGGGGAUCUUCGGACCUUGCGCGAUUGAAUGAGCCGAUGUCGGUUUAGCUAGUUGGCGGGGUAAAGGCCCACCAAGGCGACGAUCCGUAGCUGGUCUGAGAGGAUGAUCAGCCACACUGGAACUGAGACACGGUCCAGACUCCUACGGGAGGCAGCAGUGGGGAAUAUUGGACAAUGGGCGCAAGCCUGAUCCAGCCAUACCGCGUGGGUGAAGAAGGCCUUCGGGUUGUAAAGCCCUUUUGUUGGGAAAGAAAAGCAGCAGGUUAAUACCCCGCUGUUCUGACGGUACCCAAAGAAUAAGCACCGGCUAACUUCGUG
Molecule: ribosomal RNA, 492 nt
Filed under: uncultured bacterium
Lineage: Bacteria
Description: partial 16S ribosomal RNA
Rfam family: Bacterial small subunit ribosomal RNA
Source: RNAcentral